UGCCGCAGCAAACGCAUUAAGUAUUCCACCUGGGGAGUACGUUCGCAAGAAUGAAACUCAAAGGAAUUGACGGGGACCCGCACAAGCGGUGGAGCAUGUGGUUUAAUUUGAAGCAACGCGGAGAACCUUACCAAGCCUUGACAUCCUCCUGACGGCCCCUUAGCCGGGGAGUCCCUUCGGGGCAGGAGAGACAGGUGGUGCAUGGUUGUCGUCAGCUCGUGUCGUGAGAUGUUGGGUUAAGUCCCGCAACGAGCGCAACCCUUAUCCUCAGUAGCCAGCGGUCCGGCCGGGCACUCUGUGGAGACUGCCGGAGAUAAUCCGGAGGAAGGUGGGGAUGACGUCAAAUCAUCAUGCCCCUUAUGGCUUGGGCUACACACGUGCUACAAUGGCGGUAACAGAGUGAAGCAGCCUCGCGAGAGUGAGCCAACCACAAAAAAACCGUCCCAGUUCGGAUUGUAGUCUGCAACCCGACUACAUGAAGCUGGAAUCGCUAGUAAUCGCAGAUCAGAAUGCUGCGGUGAAUACGUUCCCGGGUCUUGUACACACCGCCCGUCACACCAUGGGAGUCGGAAAUGCCCGAAGCCAGUGACCCGACCUUAGGGAGGGAACUGUCGAAGGUGGAGCCGAUAACUGGGGUGAAGUCGUAACAAGGUAGCCGUAUCGGAAGGUGCGGUUGGAUCACCUCCU
This 687-nucleotide ribosomal RNA is filed under the name uncultured bacterium. Its description in RNAcentral is "bacterial SSU rRNA". It matches the Rfam family "Bacterial small subunit ribosomal RNA", at positions 844 to 1531 of the family's 1533-position model. The record is from RNAcentral.